AUGCUAUUGUUCAAAUGUAGUCGAGCCGGGCUUUUGGUGUUUUUGGUGCUAUUGUUCAAAUUUUGCUUUCUUAGAUUCAUUGCAACCAAAAGAUUUGGUAAUAUUUUUUUUCUGGAAACAUGGAUACACUUGUUGGUGUUGUAUACUGGAAUCUGGUGUUGUAUACAUGGAUACACAGCUAUAUUCAAAUGGAUCAUAGGCCCAAUAAAACAUCAUUUUACUUCAAAAUCUAAUAUACGUUUUAUUUAUUUUCCUGUUGCAUAUACAGGCAACUCUUCCUGUUGCAUCAAAAGUAACUUGCUUCGUACAUGCAAACUAAUUAGCCAUAUAGUUAAAUUAGCUACGUAUUAA
RNAcentral lists this ribosomal RNA (351 nucleotides) under Triticum aestivum (bread wheat). RNAcentral's name for it is "partial small subunit ribosomal RNA". The record is from RNAcentral. Lineage: Eukaryota; Viridiplantae; Streptophyta; Magnoliopsida; Poales; Poaceae.